Molecule: long non-coding RNA, 539 nt
Organism: Bos taurus (domestic cattle)
Lineage: Eukaryota; Metazoa; Chordata; Mammalia; Artiodactyla; Bovidae
Source: Ensembl
AUUCAGCCUCCCACACCUAUGAACUUGAAACUACUAUUCCACUCAUUUGACAGCUGUGCCAAUUAUUUCCCACCAGCAGUGCCUGAAAUCCUGAACUGUUACCCCAACUCUUGAUGCUCUAGGGUCAGAAUGUUACUUGAACACACAAAAUCAAAAGAUUUUUACUGCUUCUUAUCAACUUAGGGACUGAAAAGUGUUUCUCUUCAUGAGAGGAGAGGAACAGUUCCUUAGAUAAUAGUAACCAAAAAAUUACAGUUGGAAUAAAGAAGCAUUGAUUUCCUGGAGAAAAGAAAAUCAUUUCGUUGCCUUAACAUACUGUAAGACCGCAAACAUUGUCCUAACACUGAUCAUGAAGACCAGCUUCCUGUCUUCACCAAGACUUGAACGUUCUACCUUGUCAGAAGCACUGCUUCUGAGAGUUUUAUUUUCCACCUAAAUGGGCUGUUUUCAUCUCCCAUGUCAUCUCCUGAAGAUCUCUGGCGGCCAGCACUGUCUGAUCGUCCCUCUGAGUGCCCUGCACAAGUAGUUGGAUGAGAAAA